RNAcentral lists this long non-coding RNA (497 nucleotides) under Nicotiana tabacum (common tobacco). Its description in RNAcentral is "long non-coding RNA (NTAB_LNC005029)". Lineage: Eukaryota; Viridiplantae; Streptophyta; Magnoliopsida; Solanales; Solanaceae. The record is from RNAcentral.
CAGCAUUAGGGUUUUGAACCCUAAACUGAGUUUUUCCAUGCAGUCAGCAUUAGGGUUUUAAACCCUAAACUGACCUUUUUUCCUUUAAUCAGCAUUAGGGUUUUAAACCAUAACUGAACUUUUUCCAUACAGCCAGCAUUAGGGUUUUAAACCCUAAACUGAGCUUUUCCAUAUAGUCAGCAUUAGGGUUUUAAACCCUAAACUGACCUUUUUUCCUUUAAUCAGCAUUAAGGUUUUAAACCCUAACUGAACUUUUUCCAUUCAGCCAACAUUAGGGUUUUAAACCCUACACUAAGCUUUUCCAUGCAAUCAGCAUUAGGGUUUUAAACCCUAAACUGAAUUUUUCCUUUAAUCAGCAUUAGGGUUUUAAACCCUAAACUGAGCUUUUCCAUGCAAUCAGCAUUAGGGUUUUAAACCCUAAACUGAAUUUUUCCUUUAGUCAGCAUUAGGGUUUUAAACCCUAAACUAAACUUAUUUCCAUUCAGCCAGCAUUAGGG